Molecule: ribosomal RNA, 503 nt
Filed under: uncultured bacterium
Lineage: Bacteria
Description: partial 16S ribosomal RNA
Rfam family: Bacterial small subunit ribosomal RNA
Source: RNAcentral
AUUGAACGCUGGCGGCAGGCUUAACACAUGCAAGUCGAGCGGGGUGAUGGUGCUUGCACUAUCACUUAGCGGCGGACGGGUGAGUAAUGCUUAGGAAUCUGCCUAUUAGUGGGGGACAACAUCUCGAAAGGGAUGCUAAUACCGCAUACGUCCUACGGGAGAAAGCAGGGGAUCACUUGUGACCUUGCGCUAAUAGAUGAGCCUACGUCGGAUUAGCUAGUUGGUGGGGUGAAGGCCUACCAAGGCGACGAUCUGUAGCGGGUCUGAGAGGAUGAUCCGCCACACUGGGACUGAGACACGGCCCAGACUCCUACGGGAGGCGGCAGUGGGGAAUAUUGGACAAUGGGGGGAACCCUGAUCCAGCCAUGCCGCGUGUGUGAAGAAGGCCUUAUGGUUGUAAAGCACUUUAAGCGAGGAGGAGGCUCUUUUGGUUAAUACCCAAGAUGAGUGGACGUUAUUCGCAGAAUAAGCACCGGCUAACUCUGUGCCAGCCGCCGCCGUAA